AGAAAUACCUAAUGGACUUGAUUGCUCAAGGUUGCACGAACGAUCAACCAAAUGAAGAGGUCGAUCAUAGCUAGACUGACAUCUACCUCAACAUGUCUGGUAAACAUGAUUUGAAUUCUGUACUUAUCAAGAUUAUUGGGAAUUAAUAUGUAACAUCUCAUAUUUUUACGAGAUGUUUAUUUUACAAAAAGGUGGAUUUCAAAAUUUUUGUUGUUAGUGGAGUGAAAAUUUAAACUAUAAUAAUGUCUUCAUUAAAUCUCUCCCAAAAAUUCCUAAUAUAAAUUGGAUUAAAUUGAAUAUCUUAGGAACAUAUGUUUGCUAGAGUGCUAUUUGGAUCUUUAUUUGGCCUUUAUUUGGAUUUUAAUUGAGUGAAUUCAAAUUUGAAUUAAACCUAAACUAACUAAACCACCUAUCCGAACCUGGGCCGAAUCCUCCCUAGCCAACUAACCCAGCCGACCCCUUAACCUCGCCGGCCUACCAACCCCUUAACCCCGGGCCACUGCCUGCUCGCCCCGUUAGCCCAACAGGUCGGCCCACUCCAGCCUGCUCCACUUGCAAAACCAACCAGGCUGGAGCCCAGCUAACUAGCCGGCCCAGCUGACCCCGUCGGCCCACCAUACGGAAUCCUCCACCC
This 634-nucleotide long non-coding RNA is filed under the name Setaria viridis. RNAcentral's name for it is "long non-coding RNA (SVIR_LNC010461)". The record is from RNAcentral. Lineage: Eukaryota; Viridiplantae; Streptophyta; Magnoliopsida; Poales; Poaceae.